GCACAUAGCCUGCACCUCUUCUGACCCCGUCCAGAUGCAUUAGAAUCCCAAGUGUCCCGCGGUUCCCAAAGACUAAAUGGGUCCCUGCUGAGUAAGGGCACACAAGGGCACCCACUACAGGAGGAGGAACUUUCCAAGCGUUUACUCAUCUCCUUUUCCUUGCUGAGCACAGAUCCGAGUCACAGGACAAACCACGUGUCCGCGCAUCCGGAAGCGGAGGGAGGAGCCCGACUUCCCGGGUUUCGUCCGAUCGUGCGCAGAGCACACGAGGUUCCGGGAAGCAGGACCACCAACAGGCACGGAUUUCAGGAGGCUUAGCUGAGGGCGUGGACAUGCGCCACAGUCUGACAAGUGCUACAAGGGACCGUCCUCAGCUACAGGAGCCCCGUGACUCUGGAGUCGGAGAAGCCUGGGUUUGGGUCGCUUCUCUCUCUCUCUGCCAGCCUCAGUCUCCCCAUGUGGGCCAUGGAACAGCUCCACCGUCCAAGCCGGGCAUCCUGGAGGCGGGUGGCCGCGGGGGUCUGGCUCUGCCGCCCUGCUCAUGUCUGGCGGACACGCCUCAGUCCCCAGCAAGCCUCAGGCCUCCUGCUCUGCAUCCAAAAGGCCGCGGCCACACCGGCACCACGCCCCUCCCCCCACCGCGUCAUUGGGGGGAACCCAAGGCACGCGGCGCCUCCCCUCCCAUCCAGCAGGGGAAUCUUUCCCAUGAAUCCCCCUGCAGCCCCUCUCAGUUCAUUGGCCAGGCUUGGGUCACAUGAUGGCCUAGACCAAUCACCGGGCAAGUGGCACAAGAUUGGCACGACGGCUCAGCCAAUCAUAAAAAGCUAUGGGCAGGGUCAAGGUUGCUCCUCUCUGAGGACUUCCAGGCUCCCCACGGGAUGCGCUUCUGGAGCAGGUGCACAGUGGAAAGAAUGUUCCAGAAGUCCCCAUGCCGCCCCAGGGGCAGCUCUGGGACGCACUAGGAGACCUGCCCCAGAACCACCGUGGUUCGCUCCAGCCUACACACUGUCUCCCCUGGCCUGUGGAGACCGGGUGGAUGCCGUGGUAGCCUCAGCCGCACAAUAGCGGGGUGUGGAAAAUCGGGGUGUGGGGGCGGGAAAUGGGGAGAGACAGACCGCAGGAGAAUCGGAGUGGGGGGGAGAGGAAGGACCUGGGGACAGGGCGGGACAGGCAGGAGUCAGGCCAAGGCCAGAUGUGCACACGGACUCUCCACGAAGCCAGAUGAGCGCGGAUGAAGAUGCCCACUUGGGCGGGGCUUCCCAGAAGGGUGACAGGGCGGCUGGCCACCCCCAUGCUGGUGUGUGGACGGUGUCACCCUCCUGCUGUCUGCGUCGGAGCCUGGGAUCCAAACAGGAAGCGUGUCAUUGUCAGUCUCGCCACCGUCCGCCCCCUUGCUGCCGCAGUAACACGUCACCUGUCGGAGGCCGAGCACCGAGGCGUCUACUUCUCACCGGUGCCGGGUCCAGCACGGUCAGUGGGGGUGCCCUCCACGCAGUGACAUAGGGGCCCCGGCUGCAUCCGUCUCACCCCGGGGCUCCCAAGGUCGGGCCGGGACCUGCUCCUGACCUCCAGCCUCGCAGUGGCGGCUCGUCUCCGUGCAGACGGUCUGGAGCCCCUUGGCCUGGCUGACGGGACGGGGCUCACUGUCCCGCUCCUCUGUGUGACCUCUCUGGUCACUUCCCCGUCCCAGAAAUGGGUGGUGACGUCACCUCUGUGCUCGGCUGGCGGUGGGGACAGACGCUGGCCCGCGAUCAGCGCACGAGAAAUGCUGCCUGUCGUUAUGCUCGACAGCAGGGACGUGGCAAUAGAACAAGAAGCCCGUUUGCACGCGUUGGAAGCACCGGUGUGACUGUGAGGUUGUCGUUGCCUCCUCGCGGACCAGCCUCACGGUCUGAAGCCGCGGACGGUCGCGGCUCCGCCCGGCCUGGACCCGCAGCCUGCAGCCCAAGGUCACCAGCAGAGUCUCCUUUCCCACGCAGGGAACAGCCGUCCUGUCCGCCGCCUCCUCCCUCGGCACCGCAUCCCUGAGCCAGCAUUCCGUCCGAGUGUUGUCGCACCUUCCUUCCUGGACUUGCCUGGGUCACGCACUCAUCCCCGAACAGGCACGGCGGCCUGAGGGAGACAGCGCGCUGUUAACUCAGGCCACGUAACGGGUUGCUUCCCAGCCACGGAUGGAGUCAACUUCGACUUACGUGGGCUGCAGGGAAGGGAAGGGGCGGUCACCUGGAGGGAAACUGAGGGCCUUUACCAGCAGAACGGGGCAGCUGGGCAGCGGGACAGCAGACGUCCCCUGAAGUGCGUUCAGAUGUGCCACCCCAAGAGGUGCCGCUGGCACGUGCGGAUUAUUUCGGGCUGAAGGCGUGAUAGGAAGUUAUGAAGAAGCAGAUACAAAAGAAAACUCCCUGCUCUGCACCUGUUUGCCUACAGUGAGGACAUCGACUCAGAGAGGUGUCUCUUGUCUCCUUUCUGCUGGGAGGAACAGGAGCUAAUCUCCAGGGACACACGUGGGCCCUCGCCAGCCCAGGGAUCGCGCCUCGGGAUCUACAGAACACGGCUCACGGACUUGUCUUCAUCUUCCGUAGCUCCCCCGGUUGCUGAGGCAGUGGAUUUCAAAGACCCUGCGAUGCCUCGUGGGAGAUUCCAGACUUCAGCAUCAGAAAUGUAUUUGAACCCACCCGUCUCAGUAGUGUAUUUGUCACAAAUGGGGCUAAACCGACCGGCACGGCCAAGUUACAUCUGGGUAAUGAGCCAAGAGUCUGCUCUUCCCACUGAAAGUGGGAUUUAACUUGGCAUUUCAUCAGAAAGAGGAGAAGAUGCAUGUGUUUUCACAUCUUCUCAUUUCCGACCGUCUGAGCAUCAGUCAGCACCCCAAGUUAUCAAGUCAGAAUGCAGUGGAACUGUUCUGUGAGGCGUGGAGCCACAUUCCUGAUUCGGGUUCCUUGGAGCCCUGAGCAGACGGAUCUCCCGUGGACCCGCCGGAACACGGAGCUGAGAGCCUGCUCCGUGUCAGUGAGGCCACUGUGGCUUUCAGGGCAUUUGACAUCGAGCACGUGUUUCCGGGGACCCAGAGGAAGAGCCUUCAGGGCUCUUUGAGGAAGGACUUGCAAGAGAAGAAUCCUCCACCCCAAGGGAACACAGCAUCGUGUCUUGCCUGGUGCCUGCACAGCCCCCUGACUGGUCUAGUGGCUUCCACGGUUGUUCCCUCACCCCCUCUGCACUCCUGGGGCAGACUGAAUGAGCUUUUAAAGAAACACAUCUCGUCCUUUGCCCCUUCUGCUGGGGACCUGCCCUGCUCCCCUCACACCUGAGAGCAUUCCGGCCUCCGUCUGCAUCCGCCUGCGGGGUCUCUGUUCUCAUGGCUGCUCGUGCCUCAAGAAGCAAACAUAGCAUGUUCCUGAGUCAUGAUACGACACACACACGUCCGUUAGUCACCCAGGAGGCUCAGUUCAUCAAGAGAUCUGGAGGCAGUUGUUGAAGCACGUGUGGACGACUCACCAGGCCCUUGUUGGCGCAUCGGCAGACUGGAAACCCUGCUCGCCCUUUCCACGUGGACCAGUGUCCUCACGCCAGGGCCUGGCCAGGGGCUCGCUCCCCAUGUCUGAGGGCGCCGAGUCCCCGCUGCGGCCACUGGCUCAGGGCCCAACUGGGGUCCGAUGGAGGGGGCGGCAGAGCGGGGCUGCAGUGCAGGAGUGCUUCCUGGUGGCAAUGGUGAGGCGGCCUCCUGAGGACGCUGGUGAUGGGGCGGCGUCUCCCCUCCGCUCUCCUCUUGUGUCUUCAUCGGUAAGGAUGUUUGAACACGAGUGACCCUGACUGACCCUGGCUGCUUGAUGCAGAAGAGGAAACAGCUCGGGUGACCUGGAAGGGCAGUGGGGGCAGGGCUGACUGAAUGCCAUCAGAACGUCCCCUCCCAGCUCUGGUGGCAGCUUCACUGCAGCCGGAUAGAGGGUGCACAGCCGGCUGGGUCCCUGGUGACAGGAGUCCCCUCCAGGGGGCUGGUGCCCUUGGUGAAAAUCAGGGUGUGAUGAGCCAAGAGGUGGGUCUGGAGA
Long non-coding RNA from Herpailurus yagouaroundi (jaguarundi), 4046 nucleotides. RefSeq lists it as uncharacterized. The transcript is spliced from 8 exons. The record is from RefSeq and is a predicted model, not a curated record. NCBI's taxonomy places the organism in Eukaryota, Metazoa, Chordata, Mammalia, Carnivora, Felidae.